This 1372-nucleotide ribosomal RNA is filed under the name uncultured bacterium. RNAcentral describes it as "bacterial SSU rRNA". It matches the Rfam family "Bacterial small subunit ribosomal RNA", at positions 28 to 1381 of the family's 1533-position model. The record is from RNAcentral.
GAUAAACGCUGGCGGCGUGCUUAAUACAUGCAAGUCGAGCGAACGGACGAGAAGCUUGCUUCUCUGAUGUUAGCGGCGGACGGGUGAGUAACACGUGGAUAACCUACCUAUAAGACUGGGAUAACUUCGGGAAACCGGAGCUAAUACCGGAUAAUAUUUUGAACCGCAUGGUUCAAAAGUGAAAGACGGUCUUGCUGUCACUUAUAGAUGGAUCCGCGCUGCAUUAGCUAGUUGGUAAGGUAACGGCUUACCAAGGCAACGAUGCAUAGCCGACCUGAGAGGGUGAUCGGCCACACUGGAACUGAGACACGGUCCAGACUCCUACGGGAGGCAGCAGUAGGGAAUCUUCCGCAAUGGGCGAAAGCCUGACGGAGCAACGCCGCGUGAGUGAUGAAGGUCUUCGGAUCGUAAAACUCUGUUAUUAGGGAAGAACAUAUGUGUAAGUAACUGUGCACAUCUUGACGGUACCUAAUCAGAAAGCCACGGCUAACUACGUGCCAGCAGCCGCGGUAAUACGUAGGUGGCAAGCGUUAUCCGGAAUUAUUGGGCGUAAAGCGCGCGUAGGCGGUUUUUUAAGUCUGAUGUGAAAGCCCACGGCUCAACCGUGGAGGGUCAUUGGAAACUGGAAAACUUGAGUGCAGAAGAGGAAAGUGGAAUUCCAUGUGUAGCGGUGAAAUGCGCAGAGAUAUGGAGGAACACCAGUGGCGAAGGCGACUUUCUGGUCUGUAACUGACGCUGAUGUGCGAAAGCGUGGGGAUCAAACAGGAUUAGAUACCCUGGUAGUCCACGCCGUAAACGAUGAGUGCUAAGUGUUAGGGGGUUUCCGCCCCUUAGUGCUGCAGCUAACGCAUUAAGCACUCCGCCUGGGGAGUACGACCGCAAGGUUGAAACUCAAAGGAAUUGACGGGGACCCGCACAAGCGGUGGAGCAUGUGGUUUAAUUCGAAGCAACGCGAAGAACCUUACCAAAUCUUGACAUCCUUUGACAACUCUAGAGAUAGAGCCUUCCCCUUCGGGGGACAAAGUGACAGGUGGUGCAUGGUUGUCGUCAGCUCGUGUCGUGAGAUGUUGGGUUAAGUCCCGCAACGAGCGCAACCCUUAAGCUUAGUUGCCAUCAUUAAGUUGGGCACUCUAAGUUGACUGCCGGUGACAAACCGGAGGAAGGUGGGGAUGACGUCAAAUCAUCAUGCCCCUUAUGAUUUGGGCUACACACGUGCUACAAUGGACAAUACAAAGGGCAGCGAAACCGCGAGGUCAAGCAAAUCCCAUAAAGUUGUUCUCAGUUCGGAUUGUAGUCUGCAACUCGACUACAUGAAGCUGGAAUCGCUAGUAAUCGUAGAUCAGCAUGCUACGGUGAAUACGUUCCCGGGUCU